Molecule: transfer RNA, 73 nt
Filed under: Enterobius vermicularis (human pinworm)
Lineage: Eukaryota; Metazoa; Nematoda; Chromadorea; Rhabditida; Oxyuridae
Rfam family: tRNA
About the family: Transfer RNA (tRNA) molecules are approximately 80 nucleotides in length. Their secondary structure includes four short double-helical elements and three loops (D, anti-codon, and T loops). Further hydrogen bonds mediate the characteristic L-shaped molecular structure. tRNAs have two regions of fundamental functional importance: the anti-codon, which is responsible for specific mRNA codon recognition, and the 3' end, to which the tRNAs corresponding amino acid is attached (by aminoacyl-tRNA synthetases). tRNAs cope with the degeneracy of the genetic code in two manners: having more than one tRNA (with a specific anti-codon) for a particular amino acid; and 'wobble' base-pairing, i.e. permitting non-standard base-pairing at the 3rd anti-codon position.
Source: Rfam by way of RNAcentral
GCCAUAAUAGCUCAGUCGAGAGAGCGUUAGGCUGAAGAUCUAAAGAUCGCCGGUUCGAUCUCGGCUUGUGACA